UACGGGGGGGGUAAGCGUUGUUCGGAAUUACUGGGCGUAAAGGGCUCGUAGGCGGCCAACUAAGUCGGACGUGAAAUCCCUCAGCUUAACUGGGGAACUGCGUCUGAUACUGGAUGGCUUGGAUUUGGGAGAGGGAUGCGGAAUUCCAGGUGUAGCGGUGAAAUGCGUAGAUAUCUGGAGGAACACCGGUGGCGAAGGCGGCAUCCUGGACCAACAUUGACGCUGAGGAGCGAAAGCCAGGGGAGCAAACGUG
Molecule: ribosomal RNA, 253 nt
Filed under: uncultured bacterium
Lineage: Bacteria
Description: partial 16S ribosomal RNA
Rfam family: Bacterial small subunit ribosomal RNA
Source: RNAcentral